Long non-coding RNA from Amphiprion ocellaris (clown anemonefish), 2161 nucleotides. RefSeq lists it as uncharacterized. The transcript is spliced from 5 exons. The record is from RefSeq and is a predicted model, not a curated record. Lineage: Eukaryota; Metazoa; Chordata; Actinopteri; Pomacentridae.
UUUGAUGCCUCAUCUCAUUUCCCAGUUUGUACGUCCGCAAUCUGAGGAGUCAAGGCAACAGGCAUUUCAUUUAAAUGAGACAUCUUUGCCCUGGAGCUGUUGUUUUAAUGUGGCAUCAGUUAAACACAACGCAGCUGCAUCAUCUGUCUAUUGUUUUGCUAUAAUAUACCCCUGUUAUACAUUAUACUAUUUUAAGAUCCCUGUCAGGAGCAGAAAAGUGUUCAUGAUAACUUACAAUACAUACUUACUCAUAAUUCAAUUCACAAUGUGGCAACAUGUAACAAGAACGUACAGAUGAUAUCCUUUCAUUAUUUAGCAAACACUGGCGGUGAAGGAUAAAAGGCACAACAUACAAAAGAGUACUAUACAAACAAAGAGUGACAAGUAUUCUGGUGAGAUGAGCCUAGAGCCAGAAGUAGUGUGCAUGAUAACUGUCUUCCAUUCAGUUAAGUGUUGGGUUGAAUAUGAAAAGGCUGUUGUAGGAGUAUGUUUUGUUCAGCUUAUUAAAACUCAUCUUGGUCAAACACACAUACAGCUCUCAGGCUUUUCUGCCUAUUUCUUGCAUUGUUUUAACUCCUGAUUCCAUUUGAAUAUAAAGAUAACAGCACGAUCUCUAGGUUUAAACUAAUCUACACUGAUUCUUUUUUUUUUUUUUUUUAAAGGCUUUUUGCUGUCUAAAACGGGGAGGAAGUAGCUCAAGGGACAUUCAGAUUUGUUAAUGAAGAGUUAUUGGAGUCUUAAUUCAUUCUGUUUUGUUAAUGAAAUGAGUAAGAAACCACAUUUUCAGAGAUUUGAGAACUGAUAGGACUGAUUAUAGAGUUGAAUCUGUGAAAUCAAAUCUUUCAAUACUCAGCCUUGUUUUAUCAUCCUGUUUAAUAAAGCUUUAAGUCUGUUGUUUUUAGACUUUCAUAGUAAAUGACUCCUUAAGUGUUUCACCUUUUUCUCCUGCUGGUUUUUUUUCUUCUUUGCAUUUAGCCACACUUUAAUCUGUGAUUAAAACUUUCUACUGUGUCUCUCUGCUUCCUGACUGUUCCACCUGCCUGCAGUCUGAUUGCAGCAAUGAGAAUCAGCUGCCGUAAUUGGCUCACACCAGUCGCCUGUUUGCAAUUCCACCUCCCAGCAUAUAAGCCAGCUCUGUCAUUCCCUCCCUGCUCCACCACGGAGUCGCAUAUCCUGCGUCAGCUCAUGACCACCAGAGCUUCUUGGACACGACUCUGCCCUCGUAGCCCUGCCAGUUCCUGUAUGGGUUUCCUACCUACCCCUUCAGCUGAGUUUCUUCCCGUUCCCUUCCUCCCUGACCGUUCCACCUGCCUGCGGUCUGAUUGCAGCAAUGAGAAUCAGCUGCCGUAAUUGGCUCACACCAGUCGCCUGUUUGCAAUUCCACCUCCCAGCAUAUAAGCCAGCUCUGUCAUUCACUCCCUGCUCCACCAUGGACUUGCAUAUCCUGCGUCAGCUCAUGACCACCAGAGCUUCUUGGACACGACUCUGCCCUCGUAGCCCUGCCAGUUCCUGUAUGGGUUUCCUACCUACCCCUUCAGCUGAGUUUCUUCCCGUUCCCUUCCUCCCUGACUGUUCCACCUGCCUGCGGUCUGAUUGCAGCAAUGAGAAUCAGCUGCCGUAAUUGGCUCACACCAGUCGCCUGUUUGCAAUUCCACCUCCCAGCAUAUAAGCCAGCUCUGUCAUUCACUCUCUGCUCCACCAUGGACUUGCAUAUCCUGCAUCAACUCAUGACCACCAGAGCUUCUUGGACACGAUGCUGCCCUUGUACCCCUGCCAGUUCUUGUUUGGGUUUCCUACCUACCCCUUCAGCUGAGUUUCUUCCUGUGACCAUGUGCUACAAAGCAUUACCGGGUAACAAAUACACCUGAUGAAGAUCAGAAAUAUUCAAGCAGAAACCUUCAGCUUCCACGAAGGUGGAAAUCAUUCUGCCAUGAAGACCUAACAACCUUCAAAGACAAUUUGAAAAUGGGAAGAAGUGCUGCGUCACUCUGCGAAGCGCUGCGUCACUCUGCGAAGCGCUGCUCAACUCAACUCAACUCAACUCAACUCAACUCAACUCAACUCAACUCAACUCAACUCAACUCAACUCAACUCAACUCAACUCAACUCAACUCAACUCAACUCAACUCAACUCAACUCAACUCAACUCAACUCAACUCAA